ACGGAUAUCUCGGCUCUCGCAUCGAUGAAGAACGUAGCGAAAUGCGAUACCUGGUGUGAAUUGCAGAAUCCCGCGAACCAUCGAGUCUUUGAACGCAAGUUGCGCCCGAGGCCUUCUGGCUGAGGGCACGCCUGCCUGGGCGUCACGCCAAACACGCUCCAACC
Molecule: ribosomal RNA, 164 nt
Filed under: Micropyrum patens
Lineage: Eukaryota; Viridiplantae; Streptophyta; Magnoliopsida; Poales; Poaceae
Description: 5.8S ribosomal RNA
Rfam family: 5.8S ribosomal RNA (bases 1-145)
About the family: 5.8S ribosomal RNA (5.8S rRNA) is a component of the large subunit of the eukaryotic ribosome. It is transcribed by RNA polymerase I as part of the 45S precursor that also contains 18S and 28S rRNA.
Source: RNAcentral